UCGAGGAUCUUUAGCAAUGCCCGAAAGGGUGACUAUGCGACGCCGCGUGGAGGAUGAAGGCCUUCGGGUUGUAAACUCCUGUCAAGAGGGAAGAAACUUUACGUGUUAACAGCGCGUAAACUGACAUUACCUCUAAAGGAAGCCACGGCUAACUCUGUGCCAGCAGCCGCGGUAAGACAGAGGUGGCAAGCGUUGUUCGGAUUCAUUGGGUGUAAAGGGCAGGUAGGUGGCUAUGUAAGUCCGGUGUGAAAUCCCAGAGCUCAACUCUGGAACUGCAUUGGAAACUACAUGGCUUGAGUACCGGAGAGGUAAGGGGAAUUCUCGGUGUAAGGGUGAAAUCUGUAGAUAUCGAGAGGAACACCAGUGGCGAAGGCGCCUCACUGGCCGGUAACUGACACUGAGCUGCGAAAGCAAGGGGAGCAAACAGGAUUAGAUACCCCGGUAGUCCCUGAGCGGGCUGGCAAGGCGCAU
This 471-nucleotide ribosomal RNA is filed under the name uncultured bacterium. RNAcentral's name for it is "bacterial SSU rRNA". It matches the Rfam family "Bacterial small subunit ribosomal RNA", at positions 355 to 825 of the family's 1533-position model. The record is from RNAcentral.